This 1308-nucleotide ribosomal RNA is filed under the name Reticulitermes ovatilabrum. RNAcentral's name for it is "16S ribosomal RNA". The stretch from base 866 to 1235 matches the Rfam family "Bacterial large subunit ribosomal RNA", at positions 2073 to 2647 of the family's 2925-position model. The record is from RNAcentral. Lineage: Eukaryota; Metazoa; Arthropoda; Insecta; Blattodea; Rhinotermitidae.
UUAUUAUUGAGCGGUUUGCUGUUUGUUUUAUGUUAUGGUUAUGUUUUAGUAAAGUAUUAUUUUGUUGUUGUAUUGUUAUUGAUUUGAUUUUUUUGGUUAUAGUUUAUUUGUACUGUAGGGGUGUAUAUUGAUUUAUUUUUGGAAGUUUGCUUGAUUUGCUGUACCUUGUGUAUCAGGGUUUACUGAAUUUUAUUAUUUAUUUUUAUUUCCCGAUUCUAAAAGGAGCUAUUAGCUUAUUUUGGUUGUUGUUUUAUUAACAUUAAUAAUAGGCUAAUAGUGAUGAAAUAUUACUCGUCUUUAGGGGUUUCCGGUUUUUCAAGAAAUGAAUUUAAUUCAUACGUCUUAUUUAGAGUUUUAUUAUUUGUUUAUUUAUUUUUAUUUGGCGUUAAGAUUGGGAGGGAUUAGCUUCUUAUUUUAUUUUAUAAAUUUUGGUUUAUUAGUCUUGGGGGUUUUAUAGUGAUUUUCAAUUUGAUUAUGGUAAAAUUUUAUUUGGUUUGGUCUGGUAAUUUUGGUUAAUUAAAUAAUUAUUGAAAUGUAUUUUUUAUUUUUGGUUUAUGGUUAGUAAUUAUUGUAGAAUUAGUAAAUUUGUUGUUAGGUUGUUUUAUUUGUGUUAAUUUUCUUUGAGGAACUAGGCAAAUUUCAUGUCCGCCUGUUUAACAAAAACAUCUUUUCUCGUUAGUUUUUGAAGUAUGGCCUGCCCGCUGACUUUGGUGUUGAAGGGCCGCGGUAUUUUGACCGUGCAAAGGUAGCAUAGUCAUUAGUUCUUUAAUUGUGAUCUGGUAUGAAUGGCUUGACGAGGCAUGGGCUGUCUUAAUUUUGAAUUGUUUAUUGAAUUUGGUCUUUGAGUUAAAAUUCUUAGAUGUUUUUAUGGGACGAGAAGACCCUAUAGAGUUUAACAUUUGUUAUGGUCCCCUUUCUGUUUGUGAGGGUUCAUUGGGCCGUUUAAUAUGUUUUGUUGGGGUGAUGGGAGGGAUUAAUUUAACCCCUCCUUUUUAUUAUUAUAUUUAUUUAUAUUUACUUGAUCCAUUUAUUUUGAUUGUAAGAUUAAAUUACCUUAGGGAUAACAGCGUUAUCUUCCUUGAGAGUUCUUAUCGGCAGGGGGGUUUGCGACCUCGAUGUUGGAUUAAGGUUUAUUUUCGGUGUAGGGGCUGAAAAUUAUUAGGUCUGUUCGACCUUUAAAAUCUUACAUGAUCUGAGUUCAAACCGGCGUGAGCCAGGUUGGUUUCUAUCUAUAAUGGAGUUUUAUACCUUAGUACGAGAGGACCAGGUAUUUGGAAUAAUUUUAUGUUUGUUGAAUAUUAUUAACUG